This 742-nucleotide ribosomal RNA is filed under the name cyanobacterium enrichment culture clone 3_10_3.3.7_E12-T7. RNAcentral describes it as "bacterial SSU rRNA". It matches the Rfam family "Bacterial small subunit ribosomal RNA", at positions 67 to 852 of the family's 1533-position model. The record is from RNAcentral. Lineage: Bacteria; Bacillati; Cyanobacteriota.
CGGGCUCUUCGGAGCUAGUGGCGGACGGGUGAGUAACGCGUGAGGAUCUGCCCUUAGGACGGGGACAACAGUUGGAAACGACUGCUAAUACCCAAUGUGCCGAGAGGUGAAAGGUUAACUGCCUGGGGAUGAGCUCGCGUCUGAUUAGCUAGUUGGAGUGGUAACGGCACACCAAGGCGACGAUCAGUAGCUGGUCUGAGAGGAUGAUCAGCCACACUGGGACUGAGACACGGCCCAGACUCCUACGGGAGGCAGCAGUGGGGAAUUUUCCGCAAUGGGCGAAAGCCUGACGGAGCAAGACCGCGUGAGGGAGGAAGGCCUAUUGGUUGUAAACCUCUUUUGAUAGGGAAGAACACAAUGACGGUACCUAUCGAAUCAGCAUCGGCUAACUCCGUGCCAGCAGCCGCGGUAAUACGGAGGAUGCAAGCGUUAUCCGGAUUUAUUGGGCGUAAAGCGUCCGUAGGUGGCAAACCAAGUCAGUUGUUAAAGCGUAGAGCUUAACUCUAUAAGGGCAAUUGAAACUGGUUAGCUAGAGUGCGAUAGGGGCAAGGGGAAUUCCCAGUGUAGCGGUGAAAUGCGUAGAUGUUGGGAAGAACAUCGGUGGCGAAGGCGCCUUGCUGGGUCUGCACUGACACUGAGGGACGAAAGCUAGGGGAGCGAAAGGGAUUAGAUACCCCUGUAGUCCUAGCCGUAAACGAUGGAUACUAGGCGUUGUCCGUAUCGACCCGAGCCGUGCCGAAGC